UACUAUUAGCUAAAAUACUUGAAAAAACCUAAUUGUACAAAAAUUUAGAAGUAUUUAUGUUGCAUCUUUGCCUCAUAACCAUAUGUUGUCUUCAUCUCUUCUUCCACUUGGAUGCAAAUUAAUGGUUUGAUCAUGAAUAGCUGAGAGACUUCGUAUUUCUUGAUGAUAACUUCUCUUUAGUUGUUUUUCUCGUGUGAGAACAAUUCUAGGACAUUCAAAGUUUGCUCACUAUACCUCCUGAAAAAGAAAAAGAACGACAAUGAAAUUGCGUUAUAAGAAUGGACUACAAUUCACACCAACAUGUAAGUACUCUAUCUAGUUAAUUAGACUAUAACUUUGCUAUUAAUUGAUCAAGAAAAAGAUUAAAUAUUGAUGUGGCAAAUCAAAGCAUAAAUACAUACUAGAUAAUAUGCAUUAUAACUUUUUAGAAAAUGUUUCUGUGUUUAUAUUAAUAUAUCUUGUACUGCUAUUACUUAAUCUACACAAAAUUAAAGCUAUAUUGGUCUUCAGUACUAGAUUGAUAACAAACAAUAUCAAGAAACUAAAACGAAUAGCAAAAUAUUUUUAUCUCACUAUAAAUAAAAGUGAAUACUAUUACUGCUUAUAUGGCUAAUAUAGGAGAACACACAAUAGUUUUUCUUCACACAAGAUUUAAAUCUGUCUUGAAAAGUUAAAAACUAUAUGAGAAGAGACAUUAAAGAUGUACGUACUAUUAUUUUGUUUCAAAGCACAAAGAGAAAAGUUUACUUUAGAUUAUGGUAGGAACGUAUUUUUUUUGGUCUUCUGAUUACUUUGGAUAAUGUUCAGUGAUCAACUUGUAAAGGAAGAGGAGUCCUAUAAACUCUCUCAUUUUGAUCUCAACUUUUGCUACAUAGUUACAACAUUCAUUUCACCCCUCGUAUUGGAGGCUAAAAUAUAUGUCAAUAUCCAAGUGAUGUUAAUUUUUUAUGAAAUACACAAGUAAGGGUAAAGGCCUAAUCUCACUCCUAAAACUGUCCCACCUUCAUGUUUUCUUAAAAAGUAUAUAAAAAGAACUUUCAAAAAUUGUAUAGUUCUAAAAAAAUGACAAGUUGACAAUUCCUUCUUUAUGGACAUCAGUUGCACAAUUACUUAAUUAUUCAAAUUCAACAAAUAUUUGAACUUGCAAGGACUGGUUACAUUUUGUUGUUGGAUUUAUAUGUUGUUGACACCCAAUUUUGGACCUCCACAAUAUAAAUUAAUCAUCGAGCUUCUUAAAAUUUCAAACUAUUUGAAAUAAUUGACUUUAUAAAAUUCAAAUUAUUUUCAAGUUAGUUUUAUGUAAUUUUGUCACUUUUUGGAAUUUUUAAAUAAUAUGUAUAUAUAUUUUAUAUAAUUAGGAUAUUUUAUAAAUAUUCGGAAAUCAUCUCAAAAAGAUUUUGUUUUAAUUAAAUAUUUGGUUAAUUAGUUUAGUUAUAUAAUAGUUUAUAUUUUUAAAUCAUUCGGUUUAUAAUUAAGUUAAUUAUUUCAUUUUGUUAAGUUUAAGAAGCUCCUUAAUUAAUCUUAUUUAAAUUCAUUUUAGAUUUUAGCUGAAUUUGCAAACUAAAUUCAAUUCAAACUAUAUUGUAAAUUUUAAUUGGCUAUAACUUUAAUCCAUUGGCCAAAUCCCCAAUUUAAAACCUAAUCAAUUUCUUCAACUCAUUUUGAGACCAAGAAUUUGGGCCCUAUUUCAAUACAACCAGCAGCCCAACUUCACAAUACCAAACCGACCCAAUCCCAAACCCAUUACAAUAACAACAACAAUACAUUCAAUUAGGGGUGUACAAAAAGUCGAACCGAAAACCGAGUCAACCCGGAAAAAAAAAUCCGAUUAGUGGUUUGGUUUUGAAAAAAAAAAACCGACUAUAUUUGGGUUGGUGUUUUAACUAAAAAAACCAACCCGAGACCAAACCAACCCGACAUUAUAUAUAUAAUUUUAAAAUUUAUUUUAUACAUAAAAAUAUUUACUUUGAUAUAAUUUUAAAAUAUUUCUUAUACUUUUUCAUAGUUUUUAUCUUUUAAUAUAUUAUUUCAAGUUUGAAACUUAGAAUUAUGAAUGAGCCAAUAAAGAUUAUAGUCCACAGAUGUUGGUAAUUAACUAAUUACAAUAAAACUUAAAUCAAAAUCAAAUUAAUACUAAUGCAAAAAGAAAAUCAAUUCAACACGACAAUAAUAUUGAAUAAUUGUUCUUUAGUUUUACAUUGGUUUAGACAAUUAAAAUACAUAACCUAAUUUAAUUUCCUUUAAUAUUUAGUCAUGUAACUAAUACUUAUUAAACUUAAUUUUAGCAUGAUUUAGUACUUUUAAAUUAUGAUCAUUUUCAUUAUGACUUGUUAAUUUACAAUAUUUGUUUUACGCGAUUUUAUUAUUAUUAUUAUUAUUUUUGUUGGAUAUUUUAGUGUCAUUAAUCAUAUCAUAUUGUGUUAUAUUUUUAAGAAACAUCUUAGAUAGUUGUAUUUUGGUAGGACUAAAGAAAUAUUUGAAGUACAAGUAAAUUAUAUGUUUGUAUGAAUACUUUACAAGAAAAACCCGAAAAACCCAAAAAAACUCGAGGUUGAAAAACUCAAAUUUUAUUGGUUUGGUUUGGUUUAUAAAUUUAAAAAUCCGACACAAAUAAUUUGAUUUGAUAUUUAAAAAACCCGAACUAACCCGACCAUGUACACCCCUACAUACAAUACAUACAGAAACCCAACCCAAUUCCUUCAAUUUAAUAACCCAUUCCAGCAGCAACAUACGUACAACAGUACGCUUCUUCUUUCUUCUUCACUAACGCGUGAACAAACUCCAGCGAACCCAGACACGAACCAGAACGCGAGUCCAGCAGCCUAGCGCAUCGUCCUCUCCUCUCUCCCUCAUCCUCUGUACGUGAACACGACAGUAGACGGAAAAGCGACCCAGAUGCGCGCUUGAACGCCCGCGUCGUCUUCUUCAAUGCUGCUCGACAGGCAGUACACUGGUACAAUGUUUUUGGCUACAGCAGUCUGAGAAUUUGUACUAUUUUCAGCUCCUCCAACCUUAUCUCUGAAAAAAUUUGAAAUUUGAAAUUUCGAAUUUUAUCUCAUUCCUUACCCGAUUUCCCCCAAAAUCUACCCUAAUUUCCCCCUAUAAAUAGCUCCUUUCUUCUUCAUUGUGGAGGGUUGAAAAAAAAGAAGGAAUUAGUAUUAGAGAGGAAAACACAAGAGGAAACAAAAAAAACGGCAAUUACAAUAUAUAAAUAGGUAGAGGAAGUAGAAUUUGGGGGUGAUAGUAGUCGUGUUGCUGAAAUUUUGAGUUUAGUCGCUGCCCAGAAAAAGGUAAUAUCAUUUUCCCUUUGGUUAAAUUCCUCUUCAUCUCGUGUUUUCAUUGUUUGGAGUUUUUUUCCGAUUUCGAUUAUGUUACUAUUGUUCGCUUUCUGCUUCCUUUAAUAGUGAUACUGGGUUGUCAUUUUAGCAUUUGAAUAUAGCUAAUUGUUACUCCUCUUGUUGAUUGAAUGUGUUAUUGAUUUAGUUUAAGCUUUGUUUUGAUCAAAUCUUCCCAUGUUUAGUCUUAGAUUACUUAUUGUUUGAAUCAUUUGAUGUUGUCUGGAUCAAUUUCUUUGCAUCUUCUUAGGCUUAAUUAAGGUCAGGGUCUAUUCGAUUGUUAGUGUUAGCUUACACAAAUGAUUAUGUGCCUUGUUCUUUACUUUUAACAUCAGAGUUUUCAUUAUUUUGUCAUGUCUACAGUAACCAUUAGAGUCUCAAUUUGACUAGUAUAAUUUAGUAGAAAGAUGGGUUGUCUAUGCAUAGAUCACUUUAUUACUGCUCAAGUUUUGUUUAAAUAUUUUCUUUAUACAUUUGUUGAGUCUGGUUUAGGGGACAUUUGAUAUGUUCAAGUGCAAGUUUAGUAGCUUAUGAUCAGUUUUUUUUCCAUCUUUAUUUGGGUUUGAUGUUGGAGUUAGAUCUUUGUGUUUAUAUCGGAAGUUGUUUUUUUAUCUCCUAUAGUAUACUGGUUCCCAAAAUGCCCCCUUUGAUCACAACUUCUUCAUAAAUUGUGAGAAGAGGAAUGCAUUUUGUCAUUUAUUGCUCUUGAAACUCUAAGGUACUACUUUCCUUGUCCAUUAAUCUAACAUGUCUUAUGGUAGCCUUACUGUGUAAAAAAUGAGUUUUUCUUAUCAUUGGCAUUCUCAUGAUAGAUAUAUGUUCAUUAGUUCAUAGUGUUAUCUUUUAUCUUAUUUCAUUAUUUUAUUAGAUAUCUUGUGUUAGUAGUAUUUCAAUUAGUUCAUAUCUUCCUCUAUGUGUUGUUACCGUUAAGAAUGGAUGAGCUCAUGUUCGCCUACUGACUUUCAUUGGAAAAUUUGCUCUCGAAUAAUUUUGUAUCACUCUUGAUUAAUUCUUUUCAUUUACUUUGUUUACAUGUGAUGCUUCGCCGAGUCUAUUUGGACUCUUCCCAUUGCCUCUUUGCAUUUUCGAGUAACGAGUCAACCCUUCGGUGUUCAAGAGCGAAAUGGGAUUGACGUAUAGGUGUUUGGAGCCGAUAUACGAGAUUAUAUACACUAGUAUACACCUAGUGUAUACGAAAAUGAGGAAAUGGGCCUAAAGUCCCCGAAAUUCGAUUUUGUAUUUUGUUGGGCCUAAGCCUUUUUAUUUUAAGUACUAUUAUCUUGCUAGAACCUAGGACAAGUGGAAGAUGGGUCCAAAGCCCAAAGAAAGACAUCUUUCAAGAUUAGUUUAGGACAAGUAUAUUGGGCCUUUGGUCCCAAAACCAAAAAUUGGGCCCAAGUGCUAGCCCAGGCGGACAGAAAAUCAAACUUGGGCCCAAAACUCAUUCAGAUGAACCAAUCAUAUUUUUAAAAUCAAACAAGUAUAUUUUAUUUAGCUUUAGAAUAUCUAGUACAUAAGUAAUAUCCUUUUAUCCCCUUUCCCUUUAAAAGCAAUUUCAAGUCUUAAAUUGUUGUUUCUUUAAAACAAAGUAUGCUUUUAUUUUAAAAUUGUUUAGCCAAAUAGUUAAUUACUGGAUAACCACGUAUUAGCGGGCAUUUCGGGUGCUUUCAAACCCUUCCCAAAAUACUAAUAAGAACCCUGAAUCCCUCUGAAUAUUUUCAUUAGAUUUCUGUUUUAAUCUUUUGAAAAAAUAGUUUUCUUGAUUUUUCUUUAAAAAUUAAGUGGUGACUCUUAAAACUAGUCCAGUCUCUUUUUAAUAAUAAAAUAUAUGUUUCUUUUUGUAUUUUCUAUAUUGGUGAUAUUUGUUAUAUCGAUACUAAAUAUCAUAUUUUUUUCUGAUAAUAGAUGAAGAUCCAGAAAUGUACACUCUUAAAUUGCACUAUAAUGAUCAGUGGGUGUUCGAACAUGAGAUGAAUUAUGUUGGUGGACAGAUAGCCUACUACGACUACUGUAAGGGAGGUGAAAAUUCUAUCAUUCAAAUGAGACAAUGUAUGAAAAAGUUGAAAGUUGAUGAUAGAAAAAUGAAAUUUUGGUUUAAGUUUGGGCCUUAUUUUGAAAUGAGCUUAAGACUUUUGUCAUUUGAUAUAGAUAUUUAUAAUCUUAUCACAGCAGAGAGGUAGAGAUAUUUGUGGAGCACACAGAUGAAGAUCAAUGGACCUAUGAUGUGGUUAAUAUUGAAGGGGCUGACUUCAAGGUGAAGAGAGCUUGGUAGAUGUUGAUGUAAUAGAGGAAAGUGACGCUACAAUUCCUUGGAAGGAGAUGAGAUGAUUUUUGAUAAAAUUGUCGACUCUACUGCUGAGUGGAUUGGUGUUAAUGAAAAAAUCAGAGAUAACCAAUUUAAAGAAAAAACUAUUGAGUUUGGCGCUGCCUCCGACAUGGCUAAGAUUCCCAGUAACACUCAAGAAGAAGUUUGUGAUGCAUCAAAUGAUGAACUAAUGAGUUUGCAAGGAGAUUCAGAUGAUGAUAAUUCAAAAAGAUUCAUUGUUUAUAAUGCAAAAAGGGAUCUGGAAGAUCCAAAAUUUGAGUUUACACUUAAUAUGAUUUUCAGUAGUAGUAAAGAGUUCAAAUUGACAGUAGAAGUGCGUGCUGUGAUGAUGAAAAAAGACAUCAAAUUUAAGAAAAAUCAAAGUAGGAGGGCAAUGACAAUUUGUAAGGUAUCAAACUGCAAAUGGUUCAUAAAUGCAUCAAAGGCUAACGAAGAUGAACCUUUCAUGAUCAAAAUAAUAGGCCCUGAUCAUUCAUGUGGCAAUCAGAGAGAAAAUAAAACUAUUGACUCUGAAUUUUUGGCUAAGAAAUAUGCAGAUGAGUUCAAAAUUAAUCCAAGUUGGGGUGUGAAAGAAUUUCAAGCUCAUGUGAUGAGGAAGCAUAGUUGCACACUCAAUAGGCAUCAAUCUUAUAGGGCAAAAAAGAAGGCUUUAGAUCUGAUUACAGAGACUAAAGAAGAACAAUUUGAUAUGUUGUGGGACUAUUGUGCAGAGUUAAGGAGGAGUAACCCAAUGACUACAUGUAUUUUGAAGUUGGAUGAUAAUCCAGAAACAAUGGUCAAAGAUAGAAAAAGAUUUUUAAGACUCUAUGUGUGUUUUGCAGCUUGCAAACAAGGAUUCUUAGCUGGAUGUCGACCUAUAAUAGGGGUUGAUGGAUGUCAUUUGAAAGGCUACCAAAAGGGAGGGCAACUAUUGAUUGCAGUAGGCAUUGAUGCCAACAACAACAUGUAUCCUGUUGCAUUCGCAAUAGUGGAAUGUGAAUUGAAGGAAACAUGGAGCUGGUUUCUUACACUUUUUGACGAGGAUCUAGGAAUCUCCCAAAAUUCUUUUACUUGGACUUUCAUUUCUGAUAAAAAAAAUGUUUAAUUUCAGCAUUUGAUGAGAUAAUUUCAGAUGUCGCACACAGAUUUUGCGUGAGGCAUCUGCACAAUAAUUUUAAAACUGAAGGUUUUGGAGGACAAGCAUUGAAAGAAGUCCUAUGAAAAGCUACCAGGGCAACUAUAGAACCUGAAUUUUCCAAGCAUAUGGAAGAAAUGUCAAAGAUAGAUAUAGAUGCCCCUAAGUGGUUCAUGAAUAAGCCUCCCAUUCACUGGUCAAGAGCUUUUUUCUCUUCAUUCACAAAGUGUGACAUGUUAUUGAAUAAUAUGUGUGAAUCAUUUAAUAGCGUACUUCUACCAGCAAGAGACCAACAUAUUCUGACGAUGCUUGAAUCAAUAAGGAUCUAUAUGAUGUCAAGACUUCAGAAGAGUAGAAAUAAAAUGAUUAACCAUUGCCACAUAAUUAAUCUGCCCAUGAAUUUUAUUGAAGCUAGACAAAAAUAAGGAUAAUGUUGCCAAGUGUAUUGCCAUUAAAUCUGAUGAAUUUUAUUACCAAAUUGAGGACAUUUAUCUAAGAUUAUUCUUUGUUGAUCUUAAGGAGAGGACAUGUUCUUGUAAGGGAUGGGACUUAACAGGGAUACCUUGCAAUCAUGCUAUUGCAGCUAUAUGGGUUAAAAAUGAUGAACUUGAAAAGUAUGUUCAUGAAUGUUACAUGGUUGAACAGUAUAUGAAGAGUUAUUAUCCAUCUAUUUUACCAAUUAAUAGCUUUGAGCAAUGAUCUAAGACUGGGGUAGAACCACCACUGCCACCCAUAUAUAAAGCUCAGCCAGGUAGACCAAGAAAACUAAGAAAGAGAGAAAAUGAUGAGACAACUAAAAAAGAAUCAGAUUCUGAAAAUGGUACCCUUUUAAAAGCGUCAAGAAAGGGCAAAAAAAAGAAAUGAGAAUUGUGUGGAAAAACAGGACAGAAUAGUAGAAAAUGUCCUAUUCUUAUAAGAACCAAUCAAUUUGAGGUUCAACGGCAACAAGUUCACUAGAAAGUCAGCAAAGAAGGUUCAUCUACACUUAAUAAUGAAACAGAAGUAAGUUUUCAAAAUAAGUUGAUUCCCUUUAAUAUUUAAUAAGAGUAGCAAUACUAAAAAUGUUAUUUCAAUGUAGGUUUCAAGCACUCUUACUGUGAGUUUGGCAUCAACACAGUCCAACUCCUCAUUUGUGACUAAACAGAUCGUAAUUACCUCUUGUAUUGUCUAUUUAUGUUGUCUGUAUUGAACUUUACUAACUUAGUUUAUUUUAUUACUGUAGGCCAGUCAACUUAACCAGCCAAUGGCACAACCUCAAAUCCCACUGAGGAGUUCUACAUUCAUUUUAGAAUAAAUUAAUGAGCAUUCUAGAGAAGGUACAAGGCCACAUUUCAUCCAGAGAAUGGGAAAACAUUAUGCCCAAUUGUCUUACAUGAGGCGCUUUCUCAAACGAGCAAGAGAGUCAGAAAUAGAGCAUAUGCUAAGAAGAAAAAUGUUCCUUAAAUACAAGCCAAAUAUUUUCUCAUGACAAUGGGUGCAUGCGUUUAGAUUGUUCUUUUUCCUAUUGACUUUGAAGUUGUUUAUGCUUUGGUGACACGUUUUUGUUUCCUCUUAAAACUAGAUGCAACUUAAACAAUUUGAUUUUGUUCUUGAUUUGAACUUUUUGCAGAUGACUAUAGUAAGAUCACAUGCAUCAAUUCACUGUUUUUACAAUAAAAAGAUUGUUAUGUUUCUACAUAUCCAAAAAAUGUAUUGAAAGAGUACCGAAGGGAGAUUCACAACCUAAAACUCGGCCCUUCUAUCUCCUAAUUUAUUUUCCUGCAUCUACACACCAUUCAAGAUAAUGCAAAACCGAUAUAACAAUCUUACAUCAAACAAUCCAAUAAGUUAAUAUCUAGCAUCAGUUUUUUCACUAUCACACUUUACAAGUCAAAUACAUAAUACCAACACUUUGAAAUGCAUAUUGUCUCUUCACAAUCAAGAUAAAUAAUUUCACUCGAGCACUACAAAAAUAGUGCAAACUUCACAAUUAACCACAUUUUACUGAUUUUUAGUGAUAUAGGACAUUUGAAUGUUGAUAACUAUUAGUUUCACUAUUAAUCAAUCUGCAAUACUACAAAAUGAAAGAUACCUUCGCAAACAACAAGGAUUCCGUCGAAAUCUGAGAGGUAAAGCAAUUAUUGGACCUGUAGGCUCAGACCUUUCAUUUCCAGCACCUUCAAAAGGGGUUACUACAAUUUUAAAAGGGAUACAAAUAGAUUUAGGCAAAAGAAAAAGUGAUUUCCCAAAAAGUAAUUCAUCACACCCAUACUCAUCACACCAACUAAACUAGAGUUGUCAUGCACACACCAUUUAUACUUUUGAAGAGAAUAAAACCUUUAAGUAUGUAAGUAUAUUACCUGAAUUUGAAAGCUUAAGCAAAUAUCAGUGAAAAUGUAGAGUUGAAUGUAAUGACCCUCUUGGUCAUUUCUGUGUCUUGCCUUCCGUGUAUCAUUUAGAGCGUUCCUGUAGCGACCCCGCUGGGACUGACAGUUCGGUCACCUGGUCGUUCGUUUGGUUAUGGUGUGAGUUUUAGUGUUUUGGAGCUUAUGAACCUUGAACGAUCAUUUUCGAUCAAAAGUUCGAGAAGAUGACAUCGGAAUCCAAUUCUGACUAUUCCAUCAACUUCGGAAGGGUCAUUUUAGGCUAGUAGCAUGGUCAGGAUGACUCCCGAGGUUUUCAGUGUGAGUCGGUGUGAUUAGGCGUUUUAACAUUAAGUUUAAGCCUAAGUUUGACGUUGGUCAACAUUCUGAGUAUACGCGCUCGAAUGAGAAUUUCGCCAGCUCGGUUAGCUCUGGAAUGUCAAGUUUGGUCUAGAUUGACCUUUCUUUUGUGUCUCGAGGUUUUUGAUAUUUUUCGGAGCUCUUUUGUAGUUUUUGACUUAAAAUGACAUUUGGGUGUGAGACCCACUUUUUGUCAAGAUGGCAUUGUAUGGAAAUUUUGACUGUGCCAUUGAGUUCGGAAUAUCGAAUUUAGUAUGGUUGCAUAUCUCGUUUGCGUGCACGGGGUUCCGAACGAGUUCGGAGCACCCCAUCGGAGUUUUUUAGUUUUGGAAAUUAUUGCAGAAAAUCUGCUAUAAAUGCAGAAAAUCAGUAACAUUUCCCAAACUUCAAACCCUCAUAACUCUCUAAUCUUUCAUCCGAAUUAGGCGAUUCAAAGUGCGGGAGCUUCGUAUUUUUGGUGGCUUCGCUGUAGAGUGUUUGAAAGUUGUCGGGUGCACGUAGUUCGAGCUAGAUUUCACAAUAACCUGACUGCAGUACCCUUUUUCGAGCUUUUGUUUUCGGCAUUCUUGUUUUGGUCAUAUCUCACUCAUUUUAGCUCGGUUUUGGGUGAUUCGAAGUCCUACGUGUUGGAAAUUGUAUUGGCUUCAUUGUAGAAUGUUCAAAGCGUGCUGGGCACUUUUUGAUUCUCCUUAAUUUCGAGUUUAGACUGCUGUAAUGUUUUCUUUUAAGUUGAUUAAAGUGUGGUUUUGUUGCUUGUUGGAUGUUGAUGCGUUUUAAUCCCCGAAUUGUAUUCCAUUUUGGAACACAAGUUUGGGGUGCUAUUUAGGGUGUCUUGACGGAGUCAAAUUCAGACAGUUCGGUGCGGAUCCUACGAUUCCCGUUUUGACUCCAAAAUUGAUCCGUCUCCGUUUGUUGUGAUUUUGGUGUCUAAACGACCGUAAUAAUCUUGUGACUCUAUUUUUGAUUGCGGGGCAGUGUUUCGAGGACGUUUGGAAAAGGAAAGCUCCGUAGAAGUGAUAUUGGAGCACGUGUGAUCGGCCUACAGGUAGGCUACGGUUUCCUUCUCUUAGAUUGAGCUCGAAAAUGUGAAUGCAUGUUGAUUAUUUGGGAUUUGGGUUGAGUAGUUAUUGAAUCAUGUAUAGGUGUUUAAAAAUCAUGUUUUCGGCCUAUUUCGAGAAUUAUCGGGUAACUGUGAGCAUGCUUUGUGUUAUUAAAUUGACCCUCUUCGCUAUGUGGAGUGCUUGCAUGCUUAAUUACUGUUUAUUUGAAGCAUCUUGGGCCUUAGUUUAGGUUUGACUAGGGCUUGCCUUAGAAAUUCAUGAUUCGGAUCCAAUAAGCCUUAGUUUUUCCCCGACGUCGCUCGGCCGGCUUAGAUCCCUGUAGACUGGUGUAGCAGACUUGAGUCUGAUAGUUUGGGCCUUAGCUAGGCGAUACGCUUGCUCCGACUAUAGUUAUCCUUUUUUUCCCCGAUGUUACGGCUUCACGAGUUAAGUCGGCUACGCUAGUUCUGCUUCGCGAUUUGAAUUUGAUUUUCGAUUCAGUUCCAAGGACUUACAUUGAUUGGCUAAGUAUGGACGGCGUUCCACGGACAUUUCUGAGUAUGGAUCGAUUGGGACUCUUUCAACAACUACAUUAGCACCUUUGUCGGGCAUCCGGAUACGCUUCCACGAACAUUUAUGAGCAUAGAUCGAUUAGGAUUCUUUCAGCAGCUACAUUGGCACAUUUAUAGAGCAUCCGGUUUAAGGUCCGGCCUCUAUCGCCCAGAUACUUAUAUAGAGCAUCCGGUUCGAGGUCCGGCCUCCGUACUGUCAGAUUCUACUAAUUAAGGUUGAGGUUCUGGUUCGAUGUUCUUCGUUCUUGGGUUCNNNNNNNNNNNNNNNNNNNNNNNNNNNNNNNNNNNNNNNNNNNNNNNNNNNNNNNNNNNNNNNNNNNNNNNNNNNNNNNNNNNNNNNNNNNNNNNNNNNNNNNNNNNNNNNNNNNNNNNNNNNNNNNNNNNNNNNNNNNNNNNGUUAGAAUUUCGUUCUUGACUUCGGUUUGUGUUAUUCCUUCUUUUCAUAUUGCCUUUACUUUUCAAGUUCAGUCGGCCUAUGAUGCCUACUGGGUACCUGCUGUUGUGGUACUCAUGCUACGCUCUGCAUCUGUUUCGUGAUGUAGGUUCGAGUACCAAUGGCUAGCGUUGAUCCAGUUUGGAGUAGUCUGAUCCGGAGACAGGGGUGAGCACACGACGUUUUGUACUAUUUUAGUCUCCAUCUGUAUAUAUAGACUUGUCUUUUACCUUUCGAGACAGUCCAGUUUAUGUGGUCCGGUUUUGGGAUUUGUACUCGUUUUGUUAGUAGCUCUGUACUAGUGACUUCCAGGUUCUGGGAAAGAUCUUUAAUUGUAUAUAUGUUUUGGUUUGCUUCUGCCUGUUUAUGUUGUUAUCUUAAAUUUUGCCUACUUUUGUUUAGUUUCUGCCCUCAGAUCCAUUAGUUGUUGUUCCGGGUUACGGGUUGGUUUAUCUACUGGUAGGUUAUAGUAAGUGCCAUCAUGACUCGAGGAAUCGGGUCAUGACAUUGAAGAACUAAAAUCGCUUGAUCGAAUCGGUAAGGCUAAAUCAAAAAGACUUACCUCAUAUCUCAAGUUGAAGAAGAACUGAGAAGAAAUCUCAAAAAUUGAUUCAAAUGAAACAAAAAUCACUCCAAUAUGAGCUCCAUCGUAAAUUUUCCUUUAGUAUUAAAUCAAUAUUUGGGGAGCUCUACAUUGGAUUUUUAAGAGAGAGAAAGAGAUAAGAUAGGAGAGAAG
This 12258-nucleotide long non-coding RNA is filed under the name Solanum tuberosum (potato). Its description in RNAcentral is "long non-coding RNA (STUB_LNC008233)". The record is from RNAcentral. Lineage: Eukaryota; Viridiplantae; Streptophyta; Magnoliopsida; Solanales; Solanaceae.